CAGGUCCUUUGAAUACCAGGGCAAAUAAUUGUCAGGCAUAUGUGUCAUUCCAAUUUUUGACCCAUUUGAGUAAAAAAGCAGUAAUAAUUCGGCAACAACUAAAACACAAUGGACACAGUUUACAGAUAAAAGAGGAAAAACACCAAUCACGCCCAGAUCACAGCUUACUGCUUUAUAUAGAUGCUUUACUUGAUCAGGGGAAAAAACCCAUGGAAAUAUUGUGCAAAGCAU
This is a long non-coding RNA of Mytilus californianus (California mussel), 231 nucleotides long. RefSeq lists it as uncharacterized. Lineage: Eukaryota; Metazoa; Mollusca; Bivalvia; Mytilida; Mytilidae. The transcript is spliced from 3 exons. The record is from RefSeq and is a predicted model, not a curated record.